Molecule: non-coding RNA, 24 nt
Filed under: Drosophila melanogaster (fruit fly)
Lineage: Eukaryota; Metazoa; Arthropoda; Insecta; Diptera; Drosophilidae
Source: RNAcentral
GACCGAACACUUUGAACCAAGUAU